Long non-coding RNA from Coregonus clupeaformis (lake whitefish), 308 nucleotides. RefSeq lists it as uncharacterized. The record is from RefSeq and is a predicted model, not a curated record. Lineage: Eukaryota; Metazoa; Chordata; Actinopteri; Salmoniformes; Salmonidae. The transcript is spliced from 3 exons.
UCGCUGGCUCGUACCUGCCGUGACAUCGCCAAGCACCUCCUGACAGCUGUUGUCCCUUGACCGUCAUCCCCCCUGUACGCCUCCCUACCCCCCACACAGCAGCUCAGGGUCUUCCAGCCUGCACCUAAGGGUUGUAGGAAGGUAAUCCUCUCAACUAACAUUGCAGAGACAUCGAUCACCAUCUCAGGGAUCAAAUACGUGAUUGAUACAGGCAUGGUAAAAGCAAAACGCUUCAACCCAGGUGUAACCUGGCCAGUAUCAUGCUACAGCUUCUGGCUCUGGGGAUUCCUGACGUGAUGAACUUUGAC